Long non-coding RNA from Malania oleifera, 746 nucleotides. RefSeq lists it as uncharacterized. NCBI's taxonomy places the organism in Eukaryota, Viridiplantae, Streptophyta, Magnoliopsida, Santalales, Ximeniaceae. The record is from RefSeq and is a predicted model, not a curated record. The transcript has 2 exons.
UAAAAUCAGAAACUUUUGGAUUUUUUACAAUUUACCUAAAAGUUUUAGUAUUACUAAGACCCUUAAACCCUUGAGAGCCAUUUGGUUCCUGCGAAGGCAGUAGGGAGUCAUCUCAGACAUGGUGGUAUGUGGAACACUUGAAUCGCAUGUGGAGACGGAAGUGCAGCCGCCGAUGGAAGACCUCGAGAGGAAGAAGAAGCAGGAAGAGAAGGUGACUGGCGUUCGUGCUUCAUUGAAUCAAGGCAGUAGCAGAGAUUACUACCAGCUGUGCACAUAGGAUUUACUGCUGAGGAUAGAACAAUUGUGUUUUGGUUCAUGCUAAGUGGUCUAUUUUGAGGUGGCUAAUGGCUAUGUUAUGUUAACCAACCCAACGCCCCCAUAAAAAGAAAAUCCUACAGGUGAUAAAUGAGAACGAUGCUGCUCCACCUGGAUGUAGAAUGUCAGUUGUAAAUGAAAAUGCUUCUGUUUAUCUCGAGCUUCAACAAACCCUUAAUGCGGAAGCAGCAAUUGGAAAGCUCCGGAAAAGAUAUGGAGCUGCAGAAGUAAUUGUUUCAACUCAAAUCCAUAGAGCGUUAUCUUCUUUUUCAUGCUAAACUGAUUGUGGAAGGGUUCUGAUCAAUUGGCUGCUUCAUUGGUUUAAAGCUUUUUCUUUUGCAGGGAUAGCUUUUGUUGGCAAAAUUGUGAAACAUCAGUAGGAGCACAAUUACAAUGUUUUUUAAUUUCAAAACACAUGAAAGCUCUUUAAA